RNAcentral lists this ribosomal RNA (480 nucleotides) under Staphylococcus aureus. Its description in RNAcentral is "bacterial SSU rRNA". It matches the Rfam family "Bacterial small subunit ribosomal RNA", at positions 1053 to 1533 of the family's 1533-position model. The record is from RNAcentral. Lineage: Bacteria; Bacillati; Bacillota; Bacilli; Caryophanales; Staphylococcaceae.
CGUCAGCUCGUGUCGUGAGAUGUUGGGUUAAGUCCCGCAACGAGCGCAACCCUUAAGCUUAGUUGCCAUCAUUAAGUUGGGCACUCUAAGUUGACUGCCGGUGACAAACCGGAGGAAGGUGGGGAUGACGUCAAAUCAUCAUGCCCCUUAUGAUUUGGGCUACACACGUGCUACAAUGGACAAUACAAAGGGCAGCGAAACCGCGAGGUCAAGCAAAUCCCAUAAAGUUGUUCUCAGUUCGGAUUGUAGUCUGCAACUCGACUACAUGAAGCUGGAAUCGCUAGUAAUCGUAGAUCAGCAUGCUACGGUGAAUACGUUCCCGGGUCUUGUACACACCGCCCGUCACACCACGAGAGUUUGUAACACCCGAAGCCGGUGGAGUAACCUUUUAGGAGCUAGCCGUCGAAGGUGGGACAAAUGAUUGGGGUGAAGUCGUAACAAGGUAGCCGUAUCGGAAGGUGCGGCUGGAUCACCUCCUUU